RNAcentral lists this ribosomal RNA (515 nucleotides) under uncultured bacterium. RNAcentral describes it as "bacterial SSU rRNA". It matches the Rfam family "Bacterial small subunit ribosomal RNA", at positions 501 to 1017 of the family's 1533-position model. The record is from RNAcentral.
CUACGUGCCAGCAGCCGCGGUAAUACGUAGGGUGCGAGCGUUAAUCGGAAUAACUGGGCGUAAAGGGCACGCAGGCGGUGACUUAAGUGAGGUGUGAAAGCCCCGGGCUUAACCUGGGAAUUGCAUUUCAUACUGGGUCGCUAGAGUACUUUAGGGAGGGGUAGAAUUCCACGUGUAGCGGUGAAAUGCGUAGAGAUGUGGAGGAAUACCGAAGGCGAAGGCAGCCCCUUGGGAAUGUACUGACGCUCAUGUGCGAAAGCGUGGGGGGCAAACAGGAUUAGAUACCCUGGUAGUCCACGCUGUAAACGAUGUCGAUUUGGGGGUUGAACUUUGAGUUUGGCGCCCGUAGCUAACGUGAUAAAUCGACCGCCUGGGGAGUACGGCCGCAAGGUUAAAACUCAAAUGAAUUGACGGGGGCCCGCACAAGCGGUGGAGCAUGUGGUUUAAUUCGAUGCAACGCGAAGAACCUUACCUACUCUUGACAUCCAUGGAAUCUUGUAGAGAUACGAGAGUGC